Long non-coding RNA from Sorghum bicolor (sorghum), 479 nucleotides. RefSeq lists it as uncharacterized. The transcript is spliced from 2 exons. NCBI's taxonomy places the organism in Eukaryota, Viridiplantae, Streptophyta, Magnoliopsida, Poales, Poaceae. The record is from RefSeq and is a predicted model, not a curated record.
AAACUUGCUAAGAUUAUCUUUUCAUAGCUCUUGAUUUCUAAAGAAGUAUGAGCUUAUGUUACCGUGUUUGAUCUAUCUUAAUUUUUUUAAACAAUAUUAUGUUUGUCUUUUAGGUAGCCAUGGAUAGUCCAGAUCCAAAGGUUUCAGAAGAUAUUGUACAAUCAGAAAAAUCCAGUAAGUCUACAAAUGAUCCUGAAUGGUUACAACAAAGCAUGGGAUGGUACAGAGAUGCGGGAGAACUUAUUUGUGGAUUUCCUAGCGCACGAAAGAAAUGGAUAUCGAAGAUUUCUUUCUGCCGAUAUUAAACAUUAUCUUGGUCGUAUCACGAAAAGGUCUAUAAAAUAGAAUUUGUGAGCCUAUAACAUCGUGCUCUCCGUGACUAUAUUUAAUUUCACAAACUUUGCUUCUUUAAGAUAAAUGUCACUUUAUAGUUGGUAUUUAAGUUCUAUUAUAAUAAUAUUAUUUUAUUGUGCGAUCAA